CGCGGGCGGCGACGAGCAGGUGCAGUUCGAGCACGCGAUUCUGGCGACCGGUUCGCUGCCCGCGAUUCCGCCGAUGCUGAAGGUGGACGACCCGCGCGUGAUGGACUCGACCGCGGCGCUCGACCUCCCCGACAUCCCGAAAUCGCUGCUGGUGGUUGGCGGCGGCUACAUCGGCCUCGAGCUCGGCACCGUCUAUGCCACUCUCGGCAGCGCCGUGACGGUGGUCGAGAUGACGCCGGGUCUUCUGCCGGGCGCCGAUCGCGAUCUCGUCGACGUCCUCGCCAAGCGCGUGAACCAGACGAUGAAGAGCGUGCUGCUCGAGACGAAGGUCGUGCAGGUCAAGCCCGAGUCGAACGGCGUGCGCGUGACCUUCGAAGGCAGCGUCGAACCCAAAGAGCAGCUGUUCGACCGCGUGCUGGUCUCGGUCGGGCGCCGGCCGAACUCGAAGAUCCCGGGGCUCGAGAAGACCCAGGUGCAGAUCGAUCAGCGCGGCUUCAUCAUGGUCGACGAACAGCGGCGCACGCACGAACCGUCGAUUUUCGCGAUCGGCGACGUGGUCGGCGAGCCGAUGCUGGCCCACAAGGCGUCGCACGAAGGGCGCGUUGCCGUCGAGGUGAUGGCCGGCGAGAACGUCGCCUUUGCGCCCCGCGCGAUUCCCGCGGUGGUGUUCACGGACCCGGAGCUGGCGUGGGCGGGGCUGACCGAAUCGCAGGCCGCGAAGGAGAAUCGGAAGGUCACCGUCG
This 743-nucleotide unclassified non-coding RNA is filed under the name uncultured fungus. Its description in RNAcentral is "sequence contains 18S rRNA gene, ITS1, 5.8S rRNA gene, ITS2, 28S rRNA gene". The record is from RNAcentral. Lineage: Eukaryota; Fungi.